Non-coding RNA from Pelobates cultripes (western spadefoot toad), 334 nucleotides. Lineage: Eukaryota; Metazoa; Chordata; Amphibia; Anura; Pelobatidae. The record is from the annotation of a GenBank genome assembly.
CUUUACUACCGGACCUCAUCCACCCUGACCAGGUGGGAUUUGUGGAGGGACUGGAGGCCAGGGACAAUACCAUCAAUGCACUCAAUCUAAUCCACGCGGCUAAGAGGAGACCCUCACCCACCCUGCUGGUCUCAACGGACGCAGAGAAGGCGUUCGACAGGGUGGACUGGGCCUUCUUUCUGUCCACACUAGAGAACCUUGGGAUGGGACCACAUAUGAUGGCACGGAUAUUGGCCUUAUACACCAACCCGGCUGCCCUGCCCUACAAGUAAACGGGACACGAGACAGGGAUGCCCGUAUCACCCCUGCUCGACGUCAUCAGCCUGGAGCCGUU